This is a non-coding RNA of Loxodonta africana (African savanna elephant), 46 nucleotides long. The record is from Rfam. NCBI's taxonomy places the organism in Eukaryota, Metazoa, Chordata, Mammalia, Proboscidea, Elephantidae.
UCAAAGGCUUUUUUAAAAGCGAACUAUAUUAAAUUAGACUCUCUAU